CACCACGCCGUUUCGACGCCGAGCCGUUCUCGGGCACGUUUUUCUUCACGCCGCCGUGACCCCGUGGCUCACGUUCUCUCUCGCUCCCACUGCGGCACUCACAGGUGGCGCCUUCCUUUCGGUUAUCCCUGCGGCCCAUACACCGCCGCAACACCCUCUCACUCGCCGUCUCGCCUGAUCUUCUCAGGGAGCGGCGUUGUUUUCUCUGUCGCGGGACCACGGACGGGCGCAAGGCCGCUGGGCUCCCCUUCUUGUUAUAGCGUGCUUCUCUUUCCCGCUUCUGGCCUACCUAAGCGAUGGAGGGCAUCAUCCAGUACAGGCUGCUGGGCAACCACCCAGCCGCCUCGGGACGCUAUCUCACCGUCGGCUUCCCUGGCGAGACCACCACGACGGACAAGAUACUGGACCAGAUCAUUCAAGAGCACCGCAUCAACACCAGUCGCUACAAGCUGGAGGUGUGCCGACUGGUACCAAGUCGUGAUGCCCCGGCAUCCGCGCCGGUUCCGGCGCUACCUCCUCCAGAGAGCAGUGGUAGCGCCUUCUCAUGGUCAGGCGCGGCGGCGGGGGCACCGAAUGCGCUCGUGCCUGUCGUCAUCCGCGGCCCCGACGCGCUUUGCACGUAUGAUCGACUGACCAUUACGGUUUCCAAGCGUGACCUUGCCGACGACGAGGCGUCACGGAAGGAGAGGGAGCAGCUUGAGCGCCAGAGACAGCUGAAGGAAAUGGAGGAGCAGCUGCUCUCGGGAACUUCAGGGUUCGGGCACUUCAUCGAUGGCGGCGCCGGCGCCCACACCGCAGUCUCGCCGCCUCCCCGGCCCUCCCGCUUCUCCCGCUCGGCCGCUGGUGCGCUGCCGUCCUCAUCGCCAGCUGCGCCGGCGGUGGACAACCUGCGCCUUCAGCGCGCGGCAGCUCUGGCCAGUCAGCUUUUCCCUAUCAUGAAGGGUCAGAGCAGCGCGUCCAAGGGGCUUCACGAUGCCGACAACACUCACCGUUGCGUCCUUUGUCGCCUUUCGGCGUUUGAGGAGACACUGACGGCGUGCUGCCGUUUUUGCGUGUGCCGCAGCUGCUACGCGUCCGCGUCAGAGAUGGUGAUGAAUGAGGAUCAGUGCCCUGUGUGUGGCAUCAUAGCGUCUUCCGCGUCGCGGGCUGGUACGGCUGCCACGACAGAUCUCCACGGCGAAAGCCUCGCGAACGCCGGUGGCGACUCCACCGCAUACAGGAAGCGUGAGCGGGCUGCCAAACCUGAGGACCGACGCUUGUGGAAGCGCGAGGAGGGUGAGCCAAACAUGCCGCUGCAGCGAACGACGAGCGUGCAAGGUGCCGCGGCCGCGAACAGCGGCAGCGUUCACGGCGAUGGUCGGGCCGAAACCGAUGUCUUGGCACGGCCUUGCGACGCAGCUGCUAGUGCUCCUUCGUCUACGAAGGCUUCUGGGUCUGGUCGCGCGACAGUGCCAGACGUGGCUGGGUCACGCACCGGCAGCGGCGGGGAUGCCGGCGAUGCGGCUGCUGCUACGCCCUUCUCGAAGGACGUGCUGCGGACGGAGGAGCGCCUUCGCAGCGACCUGGAUCAGGCGCUAUCCAUGCUGGAUGCUCCCGACCCGCUCUCAGCGGCAGCGAAGGCGAAGCGCAUCAUCGGUGCCGAACUGGCCGCCUUAUGCGAGUGAACGGAUCUGCUGUUGCACAUGUCGUGCGGUGCCAAGCUUUCACAAUUGUGCGUGCGAGUGCGUGUGGCGGCAAUGACAUGUGAUAGUGGCGCCAACGUCAAGGGCACCGGGGUAGCAUGUGCCCCAGAAGACCUGCUGGAUCGAGAGGCCGUGGUGCGCCAAUCGGCCACCUGGGUCCUGUUGACGAGCACGCAAAAAGAGCAGUGAGGUGGUAUGGUACCCUUCCAGGUGUAGCUGCGUGUCGAUGUGGAUGCGAGGAUGCCACUGGCACUGCACGCCGUGCGCAAGGCUGCAGCAAGUG
RNAcentral lists this unclassified non-coding RNA (1965 nucleotides) under Leishmania donovani. RNAcentral's name for it is "gene:LdHU3.33.3420(CDS-product:hypothetical_prote in_conserved)". The record is from RNAcentral. Lineage: Eukaryota; Euglenozoa; Kinetoplastea; Trypanosomatida; Trypanosomatidae.